Molecule: small nucleolar RNA, 109 nt
Filed under: Kryptolebias marmoratus (mangrove rivulus)
Lineage: Eukaryota; Metazoa; Chordata; Actinopteri; Cyprinodontiformes; Rivulidae
Description: Small nucleolar RNA SNORD46 (ENSKMAG00000018467.1)
Rfam family: Small nucleolar RNA SNORD46
About the family: U40 is a C/D box small nucleolar RNA, also known as snoZ153 in plants. The human sequence has also been annotated in the sequence databases as U46.
Source: Rfam by way of RNAcentral
GGUGUGGGUGAUGAAAACUUGACCUUAGGUGGAUCUUUUUUUGUGCCGUUUUGGUACAAAUCUUUAGGCUCACCAAUGGUAGGACACGUCAUAGUUACACUGACGCACU